Microcebus murinus (gray mouse lemur) is the source of this 946-nucleotide non-coding RNA. The record is from RefSeq and is a predicted model, not a curated record. Lineage: Eukaryota; Metazoa; Chordata; Mammalia; Primates; Cheirogaleidae.
GGCUGCAUCACUCAGAAUCCCCUUCUGUGACAUAUGUACAAAGGGGUGACAGGAGUGCACAUACUGCUUGACCCUCUAAUUAUACCUAAAUCUACCCUAGAAUUACUCACUGUGUUAAAUAAAAGAGGACGACAAAAUUUUACUACUUCCACGGAGUGUAGAGUCUACUUCUCCUCCUCUUGACUUUAGGUUGGCCUUAGUAGAGUCCUUGACUAAUAGGAAGUGUCAAAAGUGAUAUUCUAGAACUUCAAAGUUUAGGUCAUAAAAAUCCUUACAGUCCCUUAGGGGCCUCUUAGAAUACUUUUCCUUGAACUCUGAGUUGCCAACUGAGAAGCCCAACUACACUGAGGCCAUCCUGCUGAAGAGGUCACAUUUUCACUAGCUGAACUUAGGACAAUGUUCAAUAGCAAUGAUGUCUUCCUCUGGCUUUGUGUUAAGAACCACAUUGUCUCUUGGAGUGAUAUUGAUAUUCUUCAUCAUGUGUUGGAACAACCUUCAUCAUUAAACUAUCUAUAAGAGUACCACCAAGAGCUCUUCAGGAGUGUGAGUGACUAAUAGAUUUGCUGUGGUUAAUCAAUCUAGUGGAAGGUGCAUUGUGUAUAAGUGUCUGGAAAAUAGUAGACCAUCAAGAAGCAUUCUAUGAAUGACAGAAGACAGAUGCAACAAUUGCAGGGAAGAGAACUGUUGAUGCUGAGAAACAGGCUUCAGGCAAUAUUCCAACUCUGAUUGGGAGACAUCUCAGCUGCAUCAGCAUUGAAUCAUUAUGGCCACCUUUGCCACAUUUCUAUUUCUGGUACAUGUGCCUAGAAACAUCCUUAGGAGUAAGAACUAUAUUCAAAGUAUUCAACAACUGCUAGAGCGUAGACACUGAUCAAUCAAACCAGGGGCCAUCCAUAUGCAGCAGAGCAAGGUCCUAAAAGCUGCUUACUCUGCUAGAUAUUAUAUU